GAGGGGGCGGGGAGGGAGGGGAGGGAGAGAGGAGGAAGGGGUGAGAGGGAGAAACCUGCCGCGGCUCUCCGCCUCUUUGUCUGCUCUGGGACUUGGAACAAAAGGGGAAACUCUGAUGAACUCCUUCUCCAGCUCCCUGGACGCCCGAGUAUCUCUUUCUCGCAACUUUGUCAACGCGACUUUCUCCGCUGUCAGGCUGCGCAAAAGUAUCCUAGCGCCUCGCAGGCUGCAACAAUGGAAACAAUGUCCCUUCAAAGUGCGACGAAGUGGAGGGAGAAGGUGUCAUACCAGCGACUCCAAGAGUCAUGUCACCCACUUAGCAGGAGUACUUCUACUGAAAUGCCUUCGAAUUUCUCUUACUGGAUAUAUACCUACCAGCCGCUAGCAUGAAGAUGCCAGGACCGCUGCAAGUUAGCACUGGACAAAGUAGCAUCAACUUCUUCAUUUAGAGUUUCUUCAGUUAAAUUGCUGGGAUUUUCGACAAGGCUUUCCUUAUGUGGAUUAUUGGAGUGUGAUGCCCGAGAAUUCUCUACUUGUAGAAGCACGCCCACGGGACUGCAGAAGCCUUCACACCCACCCAGCACGCUCAGAAAGUACUGUCUUCAACCUUACCAAUGUCAGUGGCGGCGACGGUGGCGUCACCAUCACCAUCAGAGAAAAAGAAAUAUGCCUUUAUGUCAUGAUGGGAAUGAGUGAUGGCCAUCCAGUGACCAGCUGGAUCUGACUGCCUUACAAGACGCAUGUGUAUGAUUAAGAGAGAGACAUUCGUGACUCCCAGAUGUACCUCCUUCCUGUCCCACAGUGUUCCUGAAGGGAGUGAGUUAUGGGGUAACUUAUAACACAGCAGGCUCUUCCUCAAGAUAGCUCUUGUCAAAACAGGAAGACGAAACUCGGGUUUCCAUGAGGAGACCACAGCUUGGGAUCCUGUCUGGAUGUACAAGCAGAAGCAUCUUCAUACUUUUCCAUUUCUAACCAUCAUGCCUCACCCCACCCUCCCAAGGCGACAUCUGCAGAGAGGUGGAACCAUCUAGGGAGGCCUGCCACUGUUUGCUGAGCUCCGGGUGAGGAUGAAGACACUUUGACAUGGCCAGCUUCAGACUCGGGAUCUGUCGGUGUUAGCAGCCGAAGGAGAAUGAGGAGGAAGAGGAGGAGAAAGAGGAGGAGGAAGUAAGACAGAGGGGGACAAGAGGACCAAGAGGGCACAUGGCUGAGGAGGAGGAGAACAACAACAACAACAACAACAACAACAACAACAAGAAGCUUGGUGUUUUCAGGAUGUGUUCCUGAGUCUCGUGAGUAGCACAUGGCAGUUGUUGUCACCUUGGGCUGAGCCGUGAAGAUUCUCACCCUCCCUUGUUGGGGAUGAACUCCGGGAUUCUAAGGAGAGGUCAGCAGGUGUUUCACAGACUGUUCCUGUUGGAGGAUUUGUCUGAUACUCUUCUCCUGAUUAGUCUGGGCUCUACAUUUCCCCAAGGGUGAAACUUGGAAGCCCUCUCCAGGAUGCAGCAGGUAGCUGAGGAGAAAACGAAGACUGACCAGCCCAGAGCUCAGAGCUUCCUCCCAUGCUCAGGAUUUACCACCAAUGCCAUUACAUCGGCCUCUUCUUGUAUGCCUCUGGAAACCACAUGUGUCCUCUGUUUGUAAUGGUUUGGCUAUGGUUGCUGGCCCCUCUUGGACAUUGUUUUCAGAACUUAAAGAAACAUUGCUUUAAAGAUUUAUUAGAACAUAUUUAAAAUAAAACCAUCUUCUCAUUUAGUAUGCAAUUGAUUCUUCCCAUUUCCUCAGUCAAAACUCAUUGAUCAAAUUUAUUUGAGAAAUCCAGACAUGUAUAUAGCGUAUUGGGGUUAUUCCCAUCCUCCCCCAUAUUCUCUUAUCUCCCUUCCAGCCCUGACGCCCUCAGUCCUCCCUAUGGGCCUAUUCACACAAUCAUGUCUUUUUGUUUUAUGAACCAUUGAUUUUAACCGGGGCCAUCUGUGUUGCCAUGGCUUUAGAAUUAUCUACUGGAACUGGUUGGCUCAAAAUAGACAAAGACUUUCCCUUCCCCCAAGUCCAUCAUAGCUAGGAAUUCAGUCCCUCCGGUCCCCUCCCCAAUUCAUAAUUGACUGUUAGAAAGCCUAGUUUAAUGCAGGCCCUGUGUAGGUACCCAUAGCUACUGUGAGGUCACACCUGAAGAUGUGAAGCCCUUUUCCCUGUCUUCCAUUUCCACUUCUGUGUUCCCUGAGCCCUAGAUGGGAUAGUAUGAAUGUUCUGAUAAUCCGACCAAGUGGUAGUAUAUGUGUUCACUUAGAUAAAACAAAGACAAUACCAAUAGGAAAUGUAUUAUAAGCCCUGCACAUGCUAAAAAUAUAUGUAGCAAAUAACAUUAUUAUAUAAAUUCAGGGUCAUUGCUCUAUGUCAAUGUCAGUGACGUAUCAGUUUCAAAGGAUUUAUAUCACUGUUAAGUUAGAAAUAAUCCACUCUUGCUUGUUGUACAGUGCAUUUGUCCAGAUAGCCUACAAAAAUG
Mus musculus (house mouse) is the source of this 2503-nucleotide long non-coding RNA. RefSeq annotates it as RIKEN cDNA 2610307P16 gene. The record is from RefSeq and is marked validated. Lineage: Eukaryota; Metazoa; Chordata; Mammalia; Rodentia; Muridae. The transcript has 9 exons.